GACGAACGCUGGCGGCGUGCCUAAUACAUGCAAGUAGAACGCUGAAGGAAGGAGCUUGCUCUUUCUGGAUGAGUUGCGAACGGGUGAGUAACGCGUAGGUAACCUGCCUGGUAGCGGGGGAUAACUAUUGGAAACGAUAGCUAAUACCGCAUAAAAUUGAUUAUUGCAUGAUAGUCAAUUAAAAGGUGCAACUGCACCACUACCAGAUGGACCUGCGUUGUAUUAGCUAGUUGGUGGGGUAACGGCUCACCAAGGCGACGAUACAUAGCCGACCUGAGAGGGUGAUCGGCCACACUGGGACUGGGACACGGCCCAGACUCCUACGGGAGGCAGCAGUAGGGAAUCUUCGGCAAUGGACGGAAGUCUGACCGAGCAACGCCGCGUGAGUGAAGAAGGUUUUCGGAUCGUAAAGCUCUGUUGUAAGAGAAGAACGAGUGUGAGAGUGGAAAGUUCACACUGUGACGGUAUCUUACCAGAAAGGGACGGCUAACUACGUG
Molecule: ribosomal RNA, 497 nt
Filed under: uncultured bacterium
Lineage: Bacteria
Description: partial 16S ribosomal RNA
Rfam family: Bacterial small subunit ribosomal RNA
Source: RNAcentral